RNAcentral lists this small RNA (92 nucleotides) under Mesonia phycicola. RNAcentral's name for it is "Mesonia sp. MDSW-25 Flavo-1 RNA". It matches the Rfam family "Flavo-1 RNA". The record is from Rfam by way of RNAcentral. Lineage: Bacteria; Pseudomonadati; Bacteroidota; Flavobacteriia; Flavobacteriales; Flavobacteriaceae.
UAGUAGCAUUAGGGAUAGUAGCGGCAUCCUUUUAUUCUGUAUUUUUUAAAAAAAUUACAAAAUAAAAGAUAUAGCGAAUAGCCCGACCCGAC